GAUGAAGAACGUAGCGAAAUGCGAUAAGUAAUGUGAAUUGCAGAAUUCAGUGAAUCAUCGAAUCUUUGAACGCACAUUGCGCCCGCCAGUAUUCUGGCGGGCAUGCCUGUUCGAGCGUCAUUUCAACCAUCAAGCCCCAGGCUUGUGUUGGGGACCUGCGGCUGCCGCAGGCCCUGAAAACCAGUGGCGGGCUCGCUGUCACACCGGGCGUAGUAGAUUUUAUCUCGCUCUGGGCGUGCUGCGGGUUCCGGCCGUUAACAAACCCUUUUAACCCAAGGUUGACCUCGGAUCAGGUAGGAAUACCCGCUGAACUUAAGCAUAUCAAUAAGCGGAGGA
This 336-nucleotide unclassified non-coding RNA is filed under the name soil metagenome. RNAcentral describes it as "partial contains 5.8S ribosomal RNA, internal transcribed spacer 2, and large subunit ribosomal RNA". The stretch from base 1 to 120 matches the Rfam family "5.8S ribosomal RNA", at positions 35 to 154 of the family's 154-position model. The record is from RNAcentral.